This 253-nucleotide ribosomal RNA is filed under the name uncultured bacterium. RNAcentral describes it as "partial 16S ribosomal RNA". It matches the Rfam family "Bacterial small subunit ribosomal RNA", at positions 524 to 776 of the family's 1533-position model. The record is from RNAcentral.
UACGUAGGGUGCAAGCGUUAAUCGGAAUUACUGGGCGUAAAGCGUGCGCAGGCGGCUUUGCAAGACAGAUGUGAAAUCCCCGGGCUCAACCUGGGAACUGCAUUUGUGACUGCAAGGCUAGAGUACGGUAGAGGGGGAUGGAAUUCCGCGUGUAGCAGUGAAAUGCGUAGAUAUGCGGAGGAACACCGAUGGCGAAGGCAGGUCUCUGGGCUGACACUGACGCUCAUGCACGAAAGCGUGGGGAGCAAACAGG